AGGUUAUCGCACUGUUGGAUAUGUGCGUUUAAGUUGGUAGGUGGGAAGUUUAGGCAAAUCCGGACUUCCUUAACACAGAGAGAUGAUGACGAGGCUCUACGGAGCUGAAGUAACUGAUACCACACUUCCAGGAAAAGCCACUAAGCGACAGGCUUUACUAAACCGUACUGAAAACCGACACAGGUGGUCAGGUAGAGAAUACUCAGGCGCUUGAGAGAACUCGGGUGAAGGAACUAGGCAAAAUAGCACCGUAACUUCGGGAGAAGGUGCGCCGGCGUAGAUUGUAAGGGCUAGCCCCUGAAGGUUGAACCGGUCGAAGUGACCCGCUGGCUGCAACUGUUUAUUAAAAACACAGCACUCUGCAAACACGAAAGUGGACGUAUAGGGUGUGAUGCCUGCCCGGUGCUGGAAGGUUAAUUGAUGGUGUAAUCGAAAGAGAAGCACCUGAUCGAAGCCCCAGUAAACGGCGGCCGUAACUAUAACGGUCCUAAGGUAGCGAAAUUCCUUGUCGGGUAAGUUCCGACCUGCACGAAUGGCAUAAUGAUGGCCAGGCUGUCUCCACCCGAGACUCAGUGAA
RNAcentral lists this ribosomal RNA (577 nucleotides) under Haemophilus influenzae. RNAcentral's name for it is "bacterial LSU rRNA". It matches the Rfam family "Bacterial large subunit ribosomal RNA", at positions 1484 to 2040 of the family's 2925-position model. The record is from RNAcentral. Lineage: Bacteria; Pseudomonadati; Pseudomonadota; Gammaproteobacteria; Pasteurellales; Pasteurellaceae.